RNAcentral lists this ribosomal RNA (424 nucleotides) under Verrucomicrobiota bacterium. RNAcentral's name for it is "Verrucomicrobia bacterium partial 16S ribosomal RNA". It matches the Rfam family "Bacterial small subunit ribosomal RNA", at positions 355 to 776 of the family's 1533-position model. The record is from RNAcentral. Lineage: Bacteria; Pseudomonadati; Verrucomicrobiota.
UGAGGAAUAUUGGUCAAUGGACGCAAGUCUGAACCAGCCAAGUAGCGUGCAGGAUGACGGCCCUAUGGGUUGUAAACUGCUUUUAUAUGGGGAUAAAGUGGGGAACGUGUUCCCUUUUGCAGGUACCAUAUAAAUAAGGACCGGCUAAUUCCGUGCCAGCAGCCGCGGUAAUACGGAAGGUUCGGGCGUUAUCCGGAUUUAUUGGGUUUAAAGGGAGCGUAGGCCGUUUGGUAAGCGUGUUGUGAAAUGUAGGAGCUCAACUUCUAGAUUGCAGCGCGAACUGUCAGACUUGAGUGCGCACAACGUAGGCGGAAUUCAUGGUGUAGCGGUGAAAUGCUUAGAUAUCAUGAAGAACUCCGAUUGCGAAGGCAGCUUACGGGAGCGCAACUGACGCUGAAGCUCGAAGGUGCGGGUAUCGAACAGG